ACCAUAGUGAUGCCUCAGGGUUAGCCCGA
Molecule: small RNA, 29 nt
Filed under: Bombyx mori (domestic silkworm)
Lineage: Eukaryota; Metazoa; Arthropoda; Insecta; Lepidoptera; Bombycidae
Description: ovarian small RNA-11238
Source: RNAcentral